CGCUCAACAGCUAGCCCAUCUAAUAAAAACAACAAACCACUAUUUAUACCCCCAAAUGCACUAAAUGCCUAAAUUAAACAAACCAUUUUUCCCCCCUAGUAUGGGCGACAGAAAAGGGUCCACGGAGCAAUAGAGAAAGUACCGCAAGGAAAAGCUGAAAGAGAAAUGAAACAACCCAGUAAAGCUUAAAAAAGCAGAGUCUACCACUCGUACCUUUUGCAUCAUGAUUUAGCCAGUGUAGCCCGAGCAAAGAGCGCUUUAGUUUGACUACCCGAAACUAGGGGAGCUACUCCAAGACAGCCUAUUAAUAGGGCCAACCCGUCUCUGUGGCAAAAGAGUGGGAAGAUCUUUGAGUAGAGGUGACAGACCUACCGAACCUAGUUAUAGCUGGUUGCCUGAUAAUUGAAUUUAAGUUCAGCCCCCCUGCUUCUCCUCUCAACUCAGCUCUACCCACACUGACACAAAGAAGCAAGGGGAGUUAGUCAAAGGGGGUACAGCCCCUUUGAACCAAGAAACAACUUUACCAGGAGGGUAAAGAUCAUAAUAACACAAGGUAAAAUAUUCUGGUGGGCCUAAAAGCAGCCACCCCCAAAGAAAGCGUUAAAGCUCAGAUAUUCUACCGCCCCCCUCUUAUACCGAUCACCCCAUCUUAUCCCCCUAAUUAUACCAGGCCGCCCCAUGCCCGCAUGGGGGCGACCAUGCUAAUAUGAGUAAUAAGAGAGCCAUGCCUCUCUCCUGGCACCCCUGUAAGUCAGAACGGACACCCCACCGACCCUUAACGGCCCCAAAUAAAGAGGGCACUGAACAACAGACUAGAAGACUAGAAAAACGUCCAGAAAUUAACCGUUAACCCCACACAGGCCUGCCCCCAAGGAAAGACUAAAAAAAAGAGAAGGAACUCGGCAAACACAUAAGCCUCGCCUGUUUACCAAAAACAUCGCCUCUUGCAAAACUAAAAAAUAAGAGGUCCCGCCUGCCCUGUGACUAUAUGUUUAACGGCCGCGGUAUUUUGACCGUGCGAAGGUAGCGCAAUCAUUUGUCUCUUAAAUGGAGACCUGUAUGAAUGGCACAACGAGGGCUUAACUGUCUCCCCUUUUUUGUCAAUGAAAUUGAUCUACCCGUGCAGAAGCGGGUAUAGCCUCAUAAGACGAGAAGACCCUAUGAAGCUUUAGACACCCAAGCAGCUCAUGUCAAACACCCUCACACAAGAGACCAAACCCAAUGAGCCCUGCCCUAAUGUCUUUGGUUGGGGCGACCGCGGGGUAAUAAAAAACCCCCACGUGGAAAGGGAGAACCUCUCCUAGAACAGUGAGCCACAGCUCUAGUCAACAGAACCUUCUGACCAAUAAGAUCCGGCAAUGCCGAUCAACGGACCGAGUUACUCUAGGGAUAACAGCGCAAUCCUCUUUUAGAGCCCAUAUCGACAAGGGGGUUUACGACCUCGAUGUUGGAUCAGGACAUCCUAAUGGUGCAGCCGCUAUUAAGGGUUCGUUUGUUCAACGAUUAAAGUCCUACGUGAUCUGAGUUCAGACCGGAGUAAUCCAGGUCAGUUUCUAUCUAUGACAUGCUCUUUUCUAGUACGAAAGGACCGAAAAGAGGGGGCCCCUGUUCUAUACACGCCCCUCCCCCACCUAAUGAAGACAACUAAAAUAGGCAAGAGGGCAUCCCUUCUCUCCUGAAGAUGGACAGAAU
Molecule: ribosomal RNA, 1692 nt
Filed under: Bembrops curvatura (brownspotted flathead)
Lineage: Eukaryota; Metazoa; Chordata; Actinopteri; Perciformes
Description: 16S ribosomal RNA
Rfam family: Bacterial large subunit ribosomal RNA
Source: RNAcentral